Molecule: ribosomal RNA, 479 nt
Filed under: uncultured bacterium
Lineage: Bacteria
Description: partial 16S ribosomal RNA
Rfam family: Bacterial small subunit ribosomal RNA
Source: RNAcentral
AUUGAACGCUGGCGGCGUGCUUAACACAUGCAAGUCGAGCGAUGAAGCACCUUCGGGUGUGAAUUAGCGGCGAACGGGUGAGGAACACGUGAGAAAUCUGCCUUCAACACUGGGAUAACUCCGGGAAACCGGGGCUAAUACCGGAUAUGAAACCUGCGGGCAUCCGCGGGUUUGGAAAGUUUUUCGGUUGAAGAUGAUCUCGCGGCCUAUCAGCUUGUUGGUGAGGUAAUGGCUCACCAAGGCGACGACGGGUAGCCGGCCUGAGAGGGCGACCGGCCAAACUGGGAAUGAGACACGGCCCAGACUCCUACGGGAGGCAGCAGUGGGGAAUAUUGGGCAAUGGAGGAAACUCUGACCCAGCGACGCCGCGUGCGGGAUGAAGGCCUUCGGGUUGUAAACCGCUUUCAGCAGGGAAGAAGCGAAAGUGACGGUACCUGCAGAAGAAGCACCGGCUAACUAUGUGCCAGCAGCCGCCGUAA